RNAcentral lists this long non-coding RNA (1206 nucleotides) under Marmota monax (woodchuck). The record is from RNAcentral. Lineage: Eukaryota; Metazoa; Chordata; Mammalia; Rodentia; Sciuridae.
CUUGGGUCCUGAAGAUGCUCCACUCACCCGAGCGGCUCGACUUCCAGCUGGUGCCUGCAUCCUCUCAGACGGCUGUUCAUCUUGCAUGCUGUCUGCUGGCUUCACUCCUGAGGCUCUUGCUUAGAUGCAGAAGGCUGACAGUCUAGCUCUGACUCCCCCACCCCAUGCUCCCUCCAGCCCCCACACUGGUUCAGGAAUUUCCACUCCAUAUGCCCUUGACUGAGGCUGGUAGCUACAGCCAGCCAAAGCCUCUCCACCCCAUGAUUCAGAAAAGGGUAGCUAAUUAUGUAGUCUUCAAGAAGGAAAAUCUGAGGGCGAUUUUAAUAACAGGCUGCAAACAUGAAGGGUUAUUAGCAGGAAGCUGGUGACCACCUGUUCCCCCUCUCUCGGCUAUCGCUAAGAGGAACAGAGAUGGGUUUUACUGCAGAAAGAGGAGCCCGUGCCAGGUUAGGCAUAAACAUGACAGCACUGAUGUAGUUUCAAGGGGUAGCAUAUAAAAUCUGCUUUCCUAGGAUUUAUGACAAGAAAAGCAGCUUUGGAUCUGAUGUGUCAUCUUCCCCAGAGGCAGAGAGGAGGACCUGAGGCUGGGAGCAUCUUUGAGACGGGAUGUCAUCUUACUCAUGCCGAUCCCCAGCACCUGGUGCACUGUGGACCAGUGGUUCUCAAAGUAUGGUCCCUGGACCAGCAGCUGCUGCAACUUCUGGGACCUUGUUGGAAAUGCAGUCGCAGAUCCCACCCACACUGACUGAAUCAGAAACUCUGGGGGUGGGGACCAGCAAGCUGUGUUUCAGCAAGCCCUCCAGAAGAUUCUGAUGCUAACUGAUGUGUGAGAAGCACUGUGUAUUCUUCACCUGGGAUCUCAGUCAAUGCCAGUUUCUGACUGAGCAGGUCUCCCGGGCAGGGCCUGAGAGCCUGAAUUUCUAACAAGCUGUAAGCGAUGCUGCUCCACUUUGGAUGCUGAAUGUCCUCAAAGAUCUGUGCAUUCCAGGCUUUGUUCCUAGGGUGGCGCUACUGAAAUGUAGUAGGACCUUUAAGAGGGCUGCUCUAGUGGGAGGUCCUUAGGUCCUUGGGCAGAUUAUGGGACCUCUUUCUCUUCCUUUUCUUGCCUCGUUGGCCAUGACAUGUACUUCUGCCAUGUUAUGCUGCCUCACCAUAGGCCCAGAGCCACAAGGCCAACCAAUCAUGGAAAACCUCCCAAACUGUAAU